RNAcentral lists this long non-coding RNA (3257 nucleotides) under Brassica napus (rape). Its description in RNAcentral is "long non-coding RNA (BNAP_LNC007577)". The record is from RNAcentral. Lineage: Eukaryota; Viridiplantae; Streptophyta; Magnoliopsida; Brassicales; Brassicaceae.
CAAAUCAGAGAAUCUCUCCACGCAAUUUUUUGUUGCAUGUGAAUUCUGUAAUUGCACGGGAUCCAGUCACUUUUAUCCAGGCCGCUCGUUCUAUAUGCCAAGUAGAGAUGGUUGGUGAAAGACCUUACAUCGUGUUAGUCAAAGAAAAAGAGAAAUCAAAAGACAAAGAGAAGGAUAAGGAUAAGGACAGAGCUGACAAAGAGAAAUCUCAGACUUCUAAUGAAGUUGCAACUACCACUCCCCCUGGGAGCACCAAGGCUAAAGUUUACCGGAAACCUCCUCAGUCGUUCAUUGGUGUUGUUGAGCUGCUUCUGGAUUCUCUCUGUAAUUUCGUUCCUCCUCCAAAAGAUGACAUGGUUGAAGGUGAUUCUACUUCAGCAGACAUGGAUAUUGAUCAUGCCUCUACUAAGGGAAAAGGCAAAGCGGUUGCUACUACACCUGCAGAAAAGAAAGCUAUUUCACAGGGCAUGUCAGCUUCAUUGGCUAAAAUUGUUUUCAUUCUGAAGCUUUUGAGUGAGAUGUUGUUAAUGUAUUCUUCGUCAAUCCAUAUAAUACUUCGAAGAGAUGCUGAAAUUAAAAGUCUUAGAGGUCCUCAACAGAAGGGUGGUCAAGUUGGUGGAAUAUUUCAUCAUAUUCUUCGAAAAUUUAUUCCAUACUCACGGGUGAUGAAGGAAAAGAAAUCUGAGAGUGAUUGGCGGCAAAAGCUGACAAGUAGGGCUAAUCAGUUUUUAGUGGGUGCAUCUGUUAGAUCAGCUGAAGCAAGGAAGAGGAUAUUUUCUGACAUUAGCAGUAUCUUCAAUGACUUCAUAGGUACCUCCAAUGGGCUUAGACCUCCAGUUAAUGAAAUACACGUUUUGAUAGUUUUGUUGAAUGAUAUGCUCUCUGCUCGGUCACCUACUGGAUCACAUAUAUCUUCAGAAGCUUCGAAUACUUUUGUUGAUGUUGGAUUGGUUAAGUCUCUUACUCGUACUCUUGAAGUGUUGGACAUGGACAACGUAGAAUCUACCAAAACUGUAACAGGAAUCAUAAAAGUUUUGGAGUUGGUGACUAAGGAGCAUGCCUAUUCUGCUGAUUCAAACUCGAAGAAUGAAACUGCGAACAACUCAUCUGAUCAAAUUCAAUCAGGAAGAGGAGAUACUACUGCUGAUGCUUCUGAAGCAGGGGAAAUUAUGCUGCGAUCGAAUCAUGAUUCCAUGACAGCUGAUCAUGCGGAGAAUUUUGGCGGUUCAGAAGAUGUGACAGAUGACAUGGAGCAUGAUCAAGACUUGGAUGAAGGAUUUGCCGCAGGUGUGGAUGAUUAUAUGCAAGAAGAGCCUGAGGAUGCUAGGGGGUUGGAAAACGGGAUUGGGUCGAUGGGUAUAGAGUUUGAGAUGCAUACCCACGUGCCGGAAAAUCUUGAUGAAGAGGAUGAAGAGGACGAAGAUGAUGAAGAUCGGGUAAUUCUUAGGUUUGAGGAUGGAAUCAAUGGGCUAAACGUUCUUGAUCAUUUGGAGGUUCUUAGAGAUCAUAGAUUUUCUGAUGAAACACUUCAUGUAAUGCCUGUUGAAGUUUUUGGCUCGAGACGUCAAGGACGAACAACUUCUAUUUACAGCCUUCUUGGCAGAACUGGGGAUGGUGCUACUCCUUCACAGCAUCCUCUUUUAUCGGGAUCUCCAUCACUUCCAGUGUCGCAAAGUCAAACAGGUUCUCUUUUGUUUUUACUUGUGUUCAUUUCCCUUUUAUGUUUUGUUAUAUUUAAGUUUGCUACCAGAUUACAUUUUGUUUGUGUUGAUCUUCCUGAAGGAAUAAUUUGUUAAUCGACUGUUUUCUUCUCUUUGUAGAAAGCACACAUGAUCAUACUGUUGGAGGUAGGGAUUCCAACGGUAGUUCUUCGUCACGGCUGGAUGCUAUAUUCCGAUCUUUGAGGAAUGGCCGGCAGGGGCAUCGUUUGAAUUUAUGGGCUGAUGACAGCCAGCAAAUUGUUGGAUCUGGCGCUUCUACCGUACCACAAGGCCUUGAAGAUUUGCUGGUAUCUCAGUUGAGACGUCCCGGCUCUGAUAAUCCUUCUGAUCAGAAUCCAUCACCUUUGGAACCCCAGUCACAGGCCGAGAGUGGGCAGCCCCAGGAGGCAACUGUCAGACCUGAAAUUCCAGAUGAAAACGCCACUGGUAAUGGAGGUGCCAAUGUGUCUGCUCCCUCUAUCGUUUCGCCAGUUGCAUCUGCUACCCCGGAUACACGAGCCCCUGCUACUGAUUCUGUCUCAAGCUCGCGGUCUCAGUCAGUCGAAAUGCAAUAUGAUCCAAAUGAUUCAACUGUUCGGGAUGUUGAAGCGGUGAGUCAAGAAAGCGGUGGGAGUGGGGCAACCUUGGGUGAAAGCCUUAGGAGUUUGGAUGUUGAGAUCGGAAGUGCUGAUGGACAUGAUGAUGGUGCAGAAAGGCAUGAUGUACAGCCAGCUAUGCGCUCAAGAAGAGCAAAUUUGUCAGUUGUGCCAUCUUCAACUGGGCGAGAAGCUUCUCUUUAUAGUGUAACUGAGGUUCCUGAGAACUCCGGUCACGAGGCUGAGCAGGAUAAUCCACCAGAGGAGCAACCAGUUAACAGGGAUGUUGCUUCUAGUUCUAUUGAUCCUGCGUUUUUAGAUGCCCUACCUGAGGGACUGCGAGCUGAAUUGAUGAGAGCAAACAAGACAAGCUGCAAUCUGUUUUUGGCUCUCCACAGCUUGUUGAUGCUGACGAUCAGAAGAAGUUGAUUGAGAUUGCUUGUACAUGUAUCCGGAAUCAGCUUCCUUCUGAAACUAUGCAUGCUGUUUUACAACUGUGUUCUACAUUGACAAGGAAGCAUUCUGUUGCUGUCUGCUUUCUUGAUUUUGGAGGUGUGCAAGGACUGCUUUCUCUGCCGAGUAAUAGUCUUUUUCCAGGGUUUGACUCAGUUGCUGCUAGUAUCAUCCGUCAUAUUCUUGAAGACCCCCAAACGCUUCAGCAAGCCAUGGAAUCUGAGAUAAAACAUGCUCUUGCAACACUUUCCAACAGGCACUCAAAUCAGAGAAUCUCUCCACGCAAUUUUUUGUUGCAUGUGAAUUCUGUAAUUGCUCGGGAUCCAGUCACUUUUAUCCAGGCCGCUCGUUCUAUAUGCCAAGUAGAGAUGGUUGGUGAAAGACCUUACAUCGUGUUAGUCAAAGAAAAAGAGAAAUCAAAAGACAAAGAGAAGGAUAAGGAUAAGGAUAAGGACAGAGCUGACAAAGAGAAAUCUCAGACUUCUAAUGAAGUUGCAACUACCACUCC